Molecule: ribosomal RNA, 468 nt
Filed under: uncultured bacterium
Lineage: Bacteria
Description: partial 16S ribosomal RNA
Rfam family: Bacterial small subunit ribosomal RNA
Source: RNAcentral
GACGAACGCUGGCGGCGUGCUUAACACAUGCAAGUCGAACGGAACGGCCCUGCUUUUGUGCGGUGCUCGAGUGGCGAACGGGUGAGUAACACGUAAGUAACCUGCCAUUGCCUUUGGGAUAACUUCAGACAGCUGGGGCUAAUACCGGAUAGGAGCUCCUGCUGCAUGGUGGGGGUGGGUAAGUUUCGGCGGUUGGUAAUGGACUAGCGGCUUAUCAGCUUGUUGGUGGGGUAGUGGCUUACCAAGGCUUUGACGGGUAGCAGGCCUGGGCGGGUGACCGGACCAACUAGGAUGGGGAUACGGCCCGGACCACUACGGGACGCAGCAGAGCGGAAGAGUACACUAGGGAAGGGAGGAUGACGUAGCACAGCCGCGCGGGGGAUGAGGGGCUUCGGGUAGGAAUGCGCUGCCGCCUGUGACGAAGCGUGAGUGACGGUAAUGGGUGAAGAAGCACCGGCUAACUACGUG